CAGUAGCGCGGUAAAACAGAGGGUGCGAGCGUUAAUCGGAUUUACUGGGCGUAAAGCGUGCGUAGGCGGCUUUUUAAGUCGGAUGUGAAAUCCCUGAGCUUAACUUAGGAAUUGCAUUCGAUACUGGGAAGCUAGAGUAUGGGAGAGGAUGGUAGAAUUCCAGGUGUAGCGGUGAAAUGCGUAGAGAUCUGGAGGAAUACCGAUGGCGAAGGCAGCCAUCUGGCCUAAUACUGACGCUGAGGUACGAAAGCAUGGGGAGCAAACAGGAUUAGAUACCCCAGUAGUCCCUGUCUCUUAUACA
RNAcentral lists this ribosomal RNA (301 nucleotides) under uncultured bacterium. Its description in RNAcentral is "partial 16S ribosomal RNA". It matches the Rfam family "Bacterial small subunit ribosomal RNA", at positions 509 to 808 of the family's 1533-position model. The record is from RNAcentral.